CAGUCGCCGCGGGAAUACGUAGGGGGCAAGCGUUAUCCGGAUUUACUGGGUGUAAAGGGAGCGUAGACGGCGAAUAAAGUCUGAAGUGAAAUCCCGCAGCUCAACUGCGGAGUUGCUUUGGAAACUUAUAAGCUGGAGUGUCGGAGGGGUAAGCGGAAUUCCCAGUGUAGCGGUGAAAUGCGUAGAUAUGUGGAGGAACACCGAUGGCGAGGGCAGCCCCCUGGGCUAAGAUUGACGCUCAUGCACGAAAGCGUGGGGAGCAAACAGGAUUAGAUACCCGGGUAGUCCCUGUCUCUUAUAA
This 301-nucleotide ribosomal RNA is filed under the name uncultured bacterium. Its description in RNAcentral is "partial 16S ribosomal RNA". It matches the Rfam family "Bacterial small subunit ribosomal RNA", at positions 509 to 809 of the family's 1533-position model. The record is from RNAcentral.